RNAcentral lists this transfer RNA (72 nucleotides) under Nitrososphaerota archaeon. RNAcentral's name for it is "tRNA-Glu". It matches the Rfam family "tRNA". From Rfam's summary of the family: Transfer RNA (tRNA) molecules are approximately 80 nucleotides in length. Their secondary structure includes four short double-helical elements and three loops (D, anti-codon, and T loops). Lineage: Archaea; Thermoproteati; Nitrososphaerota. The record is from RNAcentral.
GCCGGCGUGGUGUAGCGGCAAGCAUCGCGGGUCCUCAACCCGCAGACCUGGAUUCGAGUUCCAGCACCGGCA